This 776-nucleotide ribosomal RNA is filed under the name uncultured Neocallimastigales. Its description in RNAcentral is "partial large subunit ribosomal RNA". It matches the Rfam family "Eukaryotic large subunit ribosomal RNA", at positions 24 to 624 of the family's 3401-position model. Lineage: Eukaryota; Fungi; Neocallimastigomycota; Neocallimastigomycetes; Neocallimastigales. The record is from RNAcentral.
UAUCUCUGUAGAGUCUGCAUAUCAAUAAGCGGAGGAAAAGAAACUAACAAGGAUUCCCCUAGUAACGGCGAGUGAAGCGGGAAGAGCUCAAAUUUGAAAUCUUCAAGGUUUGACCUUGACGAAUUGUAGUUUAAAGAAGUGUUUUCGGUUAGAGGAGUAGUAAAAGUUCUUUGGAAUAGGACAUCAUAGAGGGUGAGAAUCCCGUAUUUGACUAUUCUUUCUAGCUUUGUGAUACACUUUCAAAGAGUCGGAUUGUUUGGGAAUGCAGUCCAAAAUGGGUGGUAAAUUUCAUCUAAAGCUAAAUAUUGGCGAGAGACCGAUAGCGAACAAGUACCGUGAGGGAAAGAUGAAAAGAACUUUGAAAAGAGAGUUAAACAGUACGUGAAAUUGUCAAAAGGGAAGCGUUUGACACCAGUGUUGUUUUUCCGAAAAAUCAAUUACGAAUGGCUUGAUUUUGUGUUGUAUUGACCUUAUCAGCUUUCUUCACUUUUUUCGAGUCUUUCUUAAUGCACUUUUUCGGUUAACAAGUCAACAUCAAUUUCUUUUGUUGUAAAAGAGUAUUCGGAAGGUGGCUUUCUUUUCGGAGAAAGUGUUUACUAGCCCUAUACUUCUACGAUCGGAGAGAUUGAGGUCUGCAGCGUAGAUCCUUCGGGGUUAGAUACAUUUGUGCUAAGUUGUAGCUUUUCAUAGACAACUUGUUGACUAUGUUUAGUCAUGCGGCUUACUCGCUUAUGCUAUUUUACCUACGCUUAGGAUGUUGAAGACUCUACAGAGAU